Non-coding RNA from Camellia sinensis, 486 nucleotides. The record is from RefSeq and is a predicted model, not a curated record. Lineage: Eukaryota; Viridiplantae; Streptophyta; Magnoliopsida; Ericales; Theaceae.
UUUGAAGGCAGAUGUAUCAUCAUCACCAUCAUCAAGGAAAGAACAUCCACCCCUCCUCAAGAGGAUCCAUUCCUCCAGAAAGGCAUUUGUUUCUGCAAUGGGGGAAUGGUGUAGGAGAUUUUGGACUUGUACUUUCAACCAAUACAAAGCCUAGACUGAAAUGGACAAAAGACCUCCAUGAGCAGUUCAUAGAAGCAGUAAAUCAGCUUGGAGGAGCAGACAAAAUACAGGCUCAGUAAGAAUCUCCAUGGGCACUCUAAUAUUGGAACAAAAAAAAUUGUGGCAAGAGAAAGGAUGUCUGAGGCAAAUGGAACUCAUGAGUAAUUCAAGCAUUGAAACCCAAAACAAAUAAGAUAUACAAAAGAUAGAAGCAGUGUCGUGGCCAUAGGACUCAAUGUUCACACAGCACUAGUUGAGAUACGUGAAAAGCUUUCCAUUCCCGAAGCACAAUGGCCUCAAGCGAUUAGUGAGCUUUGCGCUCUGAAU